Molecule: ribosomal RNA, 745 nt
Filed under: uncultured Parvimonas sp.
Lineage: Bacteria; Bacillati; Bacillota; Tissierellia; Tissierellales; Peptoniphilaceae
Description: bacterial SSU rRNA
Rfam family: Bacterial small subunit ribosomal RNA
Source: RNAcentral
GACGAACGCUGGCGGCGUGCUUAACACAUGCAAGUCGAACGUGAUUUUUAUGGAAGGACCUUCGGGGACGGAAGUAAAAUGAAAGUGGCGAACGGGUGAGUAACACGUGAGCAACCUACCUUACACAGGGGGAUAGCCGUUGGAAACGACGAUUAAUACCGCAUGAGACCACAAUACUGCAUGGUAUGGGGUCAAAGAUUUAUCGGUGUAAGAUGGGCUCGCGUCUGAUUAGCUAGUUGGAAGGGUAAAGGCCUACCAAGGCGACGAUCAGUAGCCGGUCUGAGAGGAUGAACGGCCACACUGGAACUGAGACACGGUCCAGACUCCUACGGGAGGCAGCAGUGGGGAAUAUUGCACAAUGGGGGAAACCCUGAUGCAGCGACGCCGCGUGAGCGAAGAAGGUUUUCGAAUCGUAAAGCUCUGUCCUAUGAGAAGAUAAUGACGGUAUCAUAGGAGGAAGCCCCGGCUAAAUACGUGCCAGCAGCCGCGGUAAUACGUAUGGGGCGAGCGUUGUCCGGAAUUAUUGGGCGUAAAGGGUACGUAGGCGGCCUUUUAAGUCAGGUGUGAAAGCGUGAGGCUUAACCUCAUUAAGCACUUGAAACUGGAAGGCUUGAGUGAAGGAGAGGAAAGUGGAAUUCCUAGUGUAGCGGUGAAAUGCGUAGAUAUUAGGAGGAAUACCGGUGGCGAAGGCGACUUUCUGGACUUUUACUGACGCUCAGGUACGAAAGCGUGGGGAGCAAACAGG